AAAUUGAAGAGUUUGAUCAUGGCUCAGAUUGAACGCUGGCGGCAGGCCUAACACAUGCAAGUCGAACGGUAACAGGAAGCAGCUUGCUGCUUUGCUGACGAGUGGCGGACGGGUGAGUAAUGUCUGGGAAACUGCCUGAUGGAGGGGGAUAACUACUGGAAACGGUAGCU
Molecule: ribosomal RNA, 170 nt
Filed under: Citrobacter koseri
Lineage: Bacteria; Pseudomonadati; Pseudomonadota; Gammaproteobacteria; Enterobacterales; Enterobacteriaceae
Also listed under: 7 other names
Description: partial 16S ribosomal RNA
Rfam family: Bacterial small subunit ribosomal RNA
Source: RNAcentral